GCCUGAGUGGCUCAGCGGUUGAGCGCCUGCCUUUGGCUCAGGGCAUGAUCCCAGAUUCCUGGGUUUGAGUCCCAUAUCAGGCU
This 83-nucleotide transfer RNA is filed under the name Vulpes vulpes (red fox). It matches the Rfam family "tRNA". From Rfam's summary of the family: Transfer RNA (tRNA) molecules are approximately 80 nucleotides in length. RNAcentral also lists the same sequence under 2 other names. Lineage: Eukaryota; Metazoa; Chordata; Mammalia; Carnivora; Canidae. The record is from Rfam by way of RNAcentral.